UCCGCCCGCUCCCGGUCCGUCUGUCCGAGGGGAGCGAGCGACCCCCGCACCGCUUCGCGCCGGGGGCAACAAAGGGUGCCCCCCCCCCCGACCCCCCUCCGCCCGCCCGCGGCCCCGCUCACUCGUCAGGGUGCUCUGUGAUCAGGCAAUCCUGGGAGAAGAAAUGUGUCUGUCCCACCCAAGCUCAUCACCUUGACCUUCCAGCUUCCAUAGGCCCCUCCCGUUGAAGCAUCCCUUUCCCAUUGCAGGAACAGAAAUGGACACUUGGAGAAAAAUCUGUGGACUGCUAGUAAUGCGAUGAAGGCAAGAGCUUUGAGGUCUUCCUUCUGGGCAGUCACCCCCAGGGAGAAGCAGCAUAUCCUUUGGAGGUUACUGUGCCGGUUCUUGCGAGUGGCGCGUUCGAGAUGACUGACUUUUCUGAAUGAAAAGGCUCCCUCUCAGAGGUGUGAUUUCUGUUUGUGCCUUGUGUUGUUUGUAUACAGAGUUUCUGCUCAGACACAGAAUAGUGCUUCCCUGUGAUGUGUUCAUUACAGUACCUAGAAUUAAUUAGCUAUGGGUGGCAGAGCUUCAAGGCAGCAGCUCCUGCAUACUAACGAUUUGCAUGCUGUGACUGUCCUGUGUUUUGUAUUCAAAAGAAACAUUUAUUUUGCAAAGUAAUGCUUUAGCUGUUGCAGAGAAUCUGGCAUAUGGACCUCGUUUCUGCUUGGAUUGGAAUGGACUUCCCUGAGUGCAGUUACACCUUUAGCUACCACUUAUUUAAGGGUGAGAAGCAACUGGGAUUUGAAGUGGCAAACUUCAGGAUGGCAUUUACUGCAGGCUUGCAACGUAACCUCCUACCUUCACUUACUCUUGCUUGUAAAACCUUUGAGCUGAAGUCUUCCACACUGUUGAUUUAGGAACCUAAAUAUGAAUGUUGGUACCCUAUUGACUGUGCUGAAUUCAAUGAUUUUUCCACUGACUCACUCGGUGACUUUGAAUGAGUGAGGAGUGGAAGUCAGCAGUCCUGAAUCAUGCCAUCCUCCAGACAAUUACCCCCCUCACCGAUAAUUCUUUCGAGCAGCAAUCAUAUUUUAAAAGCAAUGAUUACAUCUGUGUUUUCCCCCAUUAUAAUUGCUCAGAAUUUAAGAGCCACAGAAACAAUCUGCAACAUUUGCAGUCAGCUUGAAAUCUUUCAGUUGACACUUUUUGGGAGGUCAGAGACUGUGGAAAUACUAAGGGUUCUUUUCAGCAGGAGUGAGAUUUCAGCAUGCGGUUUGGAGAAUUGUUGGGAUCAUUUCAGGCACCUGCCAGGGAAAGAAGAGGUGGAGAACUCCUUGCAGUCUUCCCAGGAUGUCGUUUUGGAGGGUGGUAAGAUCAGAGCAGGAAAGCAGAAAGGACCCUCACUGCCAGAUGAGCUGGUUUGCUCAAGAACUGACUAUCCCACUGUUUUCUAGUUUUUAUUUCUUUGUAACCCUGUGUUUUACUAGGGCUGAAAGUGGCAACAAAUCUUAGGAGAUCUCUUGUGCCGUUGCCUGUGUGAUUUUUCAGGACACCAAGGGAUCAACCUGGGCAACAGCAAUGACUGUGCUGGUGUCUGGGAAGGCAUGGACCAGUGCAUGCAGUCAACCAUGAGUCACCUGUGUGGGACAAAUCUGCUGUCAUUUGUAGCUGAUUUCACGAAACCAUGCGCUCUCCUUCACCCUCUCCCAAAAUGCAAACAAAGUUUAUUGAAAUGAGGAGACUGUGAGGAAAAGGGGUCUUUUCAAAACCCUUGCCUUCUAACUGGGCACUCUAUUGCCCUCGUAAUAUUCAGCAGUACGUGAUUUAUAGCUCCCCUGACACGAUGGUUUGGUGUUUCCUUUGUGUGCAUAACUUCCUUUUGAUAUAAAGGGAUGAUAACAAACCUAAACUGUAAUCUCACUAGCACAUGACACAUUGUCUUCGUGGUGCAGAUGGCAGGAAAAUGCUCUGAUCUCGAGUUCAGCGCUUCAGCCUUCCCGCCCCCACUCCAAAUUCCACCCUGGUAACAGGGUGGGUGUUAGCAGUGUUGGUGGGGGCGAUUCCUUCAGAUGCAGUGAUGCAGGAUGAUGUUUUUGGGAGUCCCACUGGAGUUGAGUCCCUGGUAUGGACUCAGCAAGAGAUGGGUGCACAGCUGCUGCUUUAACUUCUUGCUUACCUUUUUGUGCUGAAUGACUGGAAGGAAAAACUGCUACAAAACCUUCACUUACCACUGUCAGUCCCCCAGCAGUGCUUUCCUUCUGUGCAUUCCCAACUCAGCGUGCCCUGGCCCAUCAAAUCAAAAAAAUAAUGUGCACAAACUCUGCAACUGUCACGGCAACCUCAGGAUUAGUCCUAAAGCCGGGCUACUUUUGGCAUGAGGGAAGGGCUGCUCUUCUCUUGAGAUGCCUUUCCACCCUUGAGAGGUUUCUGCAUUUUUGAUACAGCUGCUUCUAGAGCCUCAUGGGAGCUGAACAAACAGAUGUCAAAUAAUCUGUUCUUACUUCAGGGAGCACAAAAGUGGAUGGGUCUGGGAUAAACACUGGAGCUGUGCACACCUUCUCCUCCCCUCCUCGGGGAUUAUUUGAAUUAGUCUUGAACCCUUAAGUGUAUUUCAAAAAGUAUAAUUCACUUGGGUGUUCCUCCCUGUCUUGCACAGCUAUUGUGAGACCAUCCCUUCUGAACACUUAUGUCCCCUUUAUUGCAAAACUCUUUGAUUGGCCUCAGCAGGUGACACAACAAACAGUUGACUACUUACUUUAGCAAAACCAGUUUUCAUGGCUUGACCUCCUUUUCUCACCCAGUGUCUUGCUGUGAGUAGAGGGUCCUAUUCAGUGUCUGAGCAGUUGUAAUUGCAGGAUUACCCAGUCCAGGCCCAGACAUGGGAGAAACCCCCCCACAGGCAUUGAUCAGGAAAGGCUUCUGGAGUUAAAUUAAGCUUUUGAAAUAUGGAAAUGAGGACAUGGCUUAGUCAGGCGUUCAGUGGCAUAUGAUACACAGGGGAAAUGAGUUAUAUGCACCCUAUUUGUGUUCCUCUGAACCCAGCCCUCAGCUUCAGGGCUGCUCGGUGACAUGACCCAUGCAGAACUUUAAAGAUGCUUGACAAUGUUUGAUUUCAAAGGGUGCCAGUCCACCCUCUUCUCCAGGCAGAUAUUUUUCCUUGUGUCAACAUCCUCAUAACAACUCCAGCUAGGCAAAUAUAGCACAUGGCUUAUGAGUGUCCUGGAAGGACUCAGAGGUGGAGAGUUAGAGCUAAAGAAGGUUCAUGGUUAACCCCAUGCACCACUGAAUAGCUUUUCCAGGGAUAAAUCACUGCACAUGAUGAAGAAGCUGGGAGGAGAGUUUAAUGGUCCUGCAGAGAGCACCACCUUAGACAGCCAUCCCUCAAGAUAUUCCCAAGGAUUCUCAUGGAAAAUAAUCCUACGCUCCUUUUAUGUCCUAGUAAUCACACACAUAUUAUGCUUCCCUGCCCAGUUCUAAGGAGAAAGGUAAUUAGUCACUCCACACAAACCUUUUGGGACUAUGCAUAUACUCUAGUAUGGAAUACAGCUCCGUCUGGAAGGGAAUAAAAAUGCACAACUCUGCUCUAUGUGUGGUUAUUAACAUAAGCUGCCAUUUGCAGGAACUGGGUGCAAGGCCUUCCACGUGCUCCCUGCCAGCUGCAUCUCCAGCAGCAUUGGCUGCCAGGCUUAACAAAGCCCAGAAAUGGAAGCCCAGGUUAUGAGAGCUUCACACCUGCAACGCCAAAAGCACAGGCUUGACUCCUGCUCACAAAACUCCCUUGUUUUAGAUAGCAGACUCUCCAGUUUCUUAGAGAAAAAAAAAAAAAAAAAGGCUGGUUAUUGCUGGGUGUGUGUUCUGACCUUAAAAGCUGAAAGUAAAAACUCUCCCAGAUAUAGGGUGUGCUGAAGUGGCAGCUGAAGGGCUUUUUUUGUUCGUUCUGCAGUUAAUACCAUCGUGCUAAAAUUGCACAGGGAGGAGUGGGGGUUAAUUUAAGAUUUAGUGUGACCAAAAAGAAUUAUUUAGAAAACAACAAAUGGAUGACAUUCUGAAAAAUAAGCUUGAUUUCCAUAGUCAGGACUACUUGACUUAAGUUGCAGGGGAUGUGAAGGAAGCCUCCUGGAUCCAUGGCAGGUAAACAUUUGCUUUUGAUUCUGUUUUUCUCUUCAAGUGUAGAAACCCCAGCAUUUACACUUAAAUGGAUGUGCUGUAAGCUAUGUUUAGGAAGAGAAUUUCAUCCCCUCCUGCACGUACUUUUAACACAUGAUAAUUAUUUGACUGCAGCUUUACAAAGUAUGGCUGGAGGGAUGGUUUGUAAGGGAGGAGUUACAUGGCACUGAUAACUGCCUGACUCAGCCCCACUGAAGGCAGUGGCAGCAGGAUCAGGCCAUCCAGAAGAGAUAUUUUAUUUUAAAUGUCAAUUAUGUGCCUUCAGUGGCUUCUGGUAAAUUCCUGCCUCCUGAUUUCACACGUUGGAGAACACACCUGUCUGCUGGAGCGAUGAAUGUCUUCAGGGUCACGUGUUCAAUGUGGACAGGAAUCUCUGCAUUUUAUCACCUUUUUUUUUAAAAAAAAACAAACCAGGGAGCCAGAGAGCUUAUGAAGAUGAUGUUUUGGUGACUGAUGCCAUUGGUUUUGUCUUCAUCAAACAUAUCCCAGAGAAUGUGCCCUUCCUUUAUUUUUUGCUUUCUGCUUCUUCUCUCCCACCUGAUCUGUUCCUUCUAUACAACAGGAGCUAUAGUCCAAAAUUCAUCAAGGGGGGGAAAAAACUGCCCUAACCACAUGUCCAGAUGGAUUACCUUGCAUAUAACUGGUUCUGCUUGUGCCAAAGCCAUUGCCACACUACCAGUAUUUAAUUUAUUAUUGCACAAAAUGCUCUAGAUAGCUGUGACAUUAAAAAGCUUUUCAUAAAUUGGUUCCUGCUCAGCUCUGAAGAGAUUUGGGUCUUUUCUUUGAUGUUUCUCAGUCUAAGAAAGUGAAAGCUCUCCUACAAGACUUGAUCAAAGUCCUGUGAGAUGGCAGUCUGAGUUUUGGCCCUUCCUCUCUUGGAGGAAAGCAAACCAGGACAAGUCUUUGUCUUCUUGAAAGAAACAUGGACAACUGUCUUCUUUAAAAUCCUAUGAGGAUGGAAAGCAGAAGUUAUUUUCACUUUUCUGUAGCAAGGUCAACUCUAUCCCCUGUGCAGAUGGACUUAACCUCCCCAAGUAACAGGAUGAGCAAGGCACCUUUUGAGAAGGGUCACCAGAGCCUGUUGCUUUGUGCUUUCUGAAGAAUGCUAGCAGUGGAAAGGGCUUCGUGCCACUACCAUACAGCUGUCACCAAAAUCACAGCCAGAGGUUUAUUUGAUCAUAAAAUCUGCUACAGCAGGAAGCGGUGGAAGCUCUGCAGUAACUUACUUUGCUGCACACAGCUACCCCAACAGGGGCUUUGACCUUUUAACAAUGGCACUUCAUUAUACGGAAUUUUCUUAUGUUAAUUUUCCAGGUAUUGAGGGGAAGAGGAUCACUGAGAAACAUGAGAUCUUGAAAAAAAAAUUUAAAAAAUGUAAUAAAUCAUAUACUGUGACUUUUGAUAUAGUUAGUACAUCCAUGUAAUAACAUCUGGUAUUACUAGUCUUCAUUUGUAUCCUUCACAGUCAUUUAUAGGGGUGGAGAAGAGUGUUGGUCUUCCAUUACAGCAGAAGAAAUCACAGCCUGACGAGAUACCCAGGUGUUAGGGAGAGGACUUGAACUCAGGAGCAUUUGGGAGUCAUCUAGGACAGGAAAACAACACCUACUCAAGUUUAAUUCCCUGUGCUUUUUUAUGUGUGUCUAGUUGCUUGGCUGUGAGUGGUAUUUAAAUCCCCUGAGCCCCUCUGUUCACUUGUAAUUUACUAUCAGAAAAGACAGAAAUAAAUUCUAACAUGUUUGUGAGACAUACCAGAAUUACUUCAAACUUAGGACAACUUGGAGUAAACUUAAAUGCUUCAAAGCCUAAAUAUCACACUGCUAAUUAUCUUCUUAUUAGUUUAAAUCAUCAUGGAUUAAAAUGAAAUGCUGCUGUGAAAACUGCCCCAUCAAACUGAACGUGGUUGUAGCUGUUUGCCUGGUGUGGCCUGAGUAAAAGUGCUCCACUGUGCAUUUCCACCUUAGGAAAAUUCUUUAUGCCCUGAUUUCCAAGUUCGAAAAUAACUCUCUACAGAUGAAACACAUUUUUCACCCUUCAAAGAAGUGUUUUCACCUACAAAUACUCCUUGCUGCCUAAACAAGAGCCCUUUCCUUUACACUUGUGCCAACAUGUAACUUGGAUAAAGAAUUAAACUUAGAUUCUUAGUUAUAAUGCUUCCCCUGACUUUUUUUUUUUUUAAAUAA
This is a long non-coding RNA of Chiroxiphia lanceolata (lance-tailed manakin), 6326 nucleotides long. RefSeq lists it as uncharacterized. The transcript is spliced from 4 exons. The record is from RefSeq and is a predicted model, not a curated record. Lineage: Eukaryota; Metazoa; Chordata; Aves; Passeriformes; Pipridae.